RNAcentral lists this ribosomal RNA (425 nucleotides) under uncultured bacterium. RNAcentral's name for it is "partial 16S ribosomal RNA". It matches the Rfam family "Bacterial small subunit ribosomal RNA", at positions 354 to 796 of the family's 1533-position model. The record is from RNAcentral.
GUGGGGAAUAUUGGACAAUGGGCGCAAGCCUGAUCCAGCCAUGCCGCGUGAGUGAUGAAGGCCCUAGGGUUGUAAAGCUCUUUCACCGGUGAAGAUAAUGACGGUAACCGGAGAAGAAGCCCCGGCUAACUUCGUGCCAGCAGCCGCGGUAAUACGAAGGGGGCUAGCGUUGUUCGGAAUUACUGGGCGUCAAGCGCACGUAGGCGGACAUUUAAGUCAGGGGUGAAAUCCCGGGGCUCAACCACGGAACUGCCUGUGAUACUGGGUGUCUGGAGUAUGGAAGAGGUAAGUGGAAUUCCGAGUGUAGAGGUGAAAUUCGUAGAUAUUCGGAGGAACACCAGUGGCGAAGGCGGCUUACUGGUCCAUUACUGACGCUGAGGUGCGAAAGCGUGGGGAGCAAACAGGAUUAGAUACCCGUGUAGUCC